Molecule: ribosomal RNA, 392 nt
Filed under: uncultured bacterium
Lineage: Bacteria
Description: bacterial SSU rRNA
Rfam family: Bacterial small subunit ribosomal RNA
Source: RNAcentral
GACGAACGCUGGCGGCGUGCUUAACACAUGCAAGUCGAGCGGUAAGGCCCUUUCGGGGGUACACGAGCGGCGAACGGGUGAGUAACACGUGGGUGACCUGCCCUUAGCUCUGGGAUAAGCCUGGGAAACUGGGUCUAAUACCGGAUAUGACUCCAUGACGCAUGUUGUGGGGUGGAAAGCCUUGUGCGGCUAGGGAUGGGCCCGCGGCCUAUCAGCUUGUUGGUGGGGUGAUGGCCUACCAAGGCGACGACGGGUAGCCGGCCUGAGAGGGCGACCGGCCACACUGGGACUGAGACACGGCCCAGACUCCUACGGGAGGCAGCAGUGGGGAAUCUUGCGCAAUGGGCGAAAGCCUGACGCAGCGACGCCGCGUGAGGGAAGAAGGCCUUCGG